CAAUCAAACCGGGAGAUAGCUGGUUCUCCCCGAAAGCUAUUUAGGUAGCGCCUCGUGAAUUCAUCUCCGGGGGUAGAGCACUGUUUCGGCUAGGGGGCCAUCCCGGCUUACCAACCCGAUGCAAACUGCGAAUACCGGAGAAUGUUAUCACGGGAGACACACGGCGGGUGCUAACGUCCGUCGUGAAGAGGGAAACAACCCAGACCGCCAGCUAAGGUCCCAAAGUCAUGGUUAAGUGGGAAACGAUGUGGGAAGGCCCAGACAGCCAGGAUGUUGGCUUAGAAGCAGCCAUCAUUUAAAGAAAGCGUAAUAGCUCACUGGUCGAGUCGGCCUGCGCGGAAGAUGUAACGGGGCUAAACCAUGCACCGAAGCUGCGGCAGCGAACGUAUCACCCAAGACAACUUUACGGAGUUGACGAUUGACGGAGCGAAGCGACGUCAAAGCGUUCAUUAAAGUCGAGUUGGCUUAGGGAUACGUUCGUUGGGUAGGGGAGCGUUCUGUAAGCCUGUGAAGGUGUGUCGUGAGGCAUGCUGGAGGUAUCAGAAGUGCGAAUGCUGACAUAAGUAACGAUAAAGCGGGUGAAAAGCCCGCUCGCCGGAAGACCAAGGGUUCCUGUCCAACGUUAAUCGGGGCAGGGUGAGUCGACCCCUAAGGCGAGGCCGAAAGGCGUAGUCGAUGGGAAACGGGUUAAUAUUCCCGUACUUGGUGUUACUGCGAAGGGGGGACGGAGAAGGCUAUGUUGGCCGGGCGACGGUUGUCCCGGUUUAAGCGUGUAGGUGUGUGUUCCAGGUAAAUCCGGUUCACUUUAACACUGAGGCGUGACGACGAGGCACUACGGUGCUGA
Molecule: ribosomal RNA, 844 nt
Filed under: Salmonella enterica
Lineage: Bacteria; Pseudomonadati; Pseudomonadota; Gammaproteobacteria; Enterobacterales; Enterobacteriaceae
Also listed under: 1 other name
Description: partial 23S ribosomal RNA
Rfam family: Bacterial large subunit ribosomal RNA
Source: RNAcentral